CUGCUUCUUUUUCUCCAAUAAUCUUUGACAGUGUGAUACAGAAAGCGACCCAGAGGAGCAGGCCUCCAUUGAUGACCUCGAACAGUCAUUCACUGUCUCAACCAGCAAAGCCUCGGGACCCAUUGGUGCAUUAAACGGGAGCUGUGAAGCCAAACUCUCUGUGAUCUCUAAAGUCUCUGGCCUGGAACGGAGCCAGGAGCGUAACUAUGAGGCUGACCGGGACUCCCUGCUAGUGCCUUUCCUGCCUAAGGAACCCCCUUCUCAGGCAGCUACUGCCCCUAUUCUGGCUCAGGCCUUGCCGCCAACUCCUCCUGCCCCACCUCCUGUCAAGACUCGGGCUCAGACACCUAACACUGUUCGUGGGACGCCCCAGCCCAAAGGCCAGCUGCCUCCCAUGCCUCAGGGUGGAGCAGUUACCCACAGCCUUGCCCAGAGCCAACUGCACAUGAAGGU
Thamnophis sirtalis is the source of this 453-nucleotide non-coding RNA. The record is from RefSeq and is a predicted model, not a curated record. NCBI's taxonomy places the organism in Eukaryota, Metazoa, Chordata, Lepidosauria, Squamata, Natricidae.